RNAcentral lists this ribosomal RNA (500 nucleotides) under uncultured bacterium. RNAcentral describes it as "partial 16S ribosomal RNA". It matches the Rfam family "Bacterial small subunit ribosomal RNA", at positions 30 to 523 of the family's 1533-position model. The record is from RNAcentral.
AUUGAACGCUGGCGGCAUGCCUUACACAUGCAAGUCGAACGGCAGCACGGGAGCAAUCCUGGUGGCGAGUGGCGAGCGGGUGAGUAAUAUAUCGGAACGUGCCCAGUCGUGGGGGAUAACGUAGCGAAAGCUACGCUAAUACCGCAUACGAUCUAUGGAUGAAAGCGGGGGAUCGCAAGACCUCGCGCGAUUGGAGCGGCCGAUAUCAGAUUAGGUAGUUGGUGAGGUAAAGGCUCACCAAGCCGACGAUCUGUAGCUGGUCUGAGAGGACGACCAGCCACACUGGGACUGAGACACGGCCCAGACUCCUACGGGAGGCAGCAGUGGGGAAUUUUGGACAAUGGGCGCAAGCCUGAUCCAGCAAUGCCGCGUGCAGGAUGAAGGCCUUCGGGUUGUAAACUGCUUUUGUACGGAACGAAACGGUGAGCUCUAAUACAGUUUGCUAAUGACGGUACCGUAAGAAUAAGCACCGGCUAACUACGUGCCAGCAGCCGCGGUAA